This is a long non-coding RNA of Cavia porcellus (domestic guinea pig), 2529 nucleotides long. RefSeq lists it as uncharacterized. Lineage: Eukaryota; Metazoa; Chordata; Mammalia; Rodentia; Caviidae. The transcript is spliced from 2 exons. The record is from RefSeq and is a predicted model, not a curated record.
CCUGGAAAAGAAAGGAGGAACGGCCUUCAUGAUGGGGAUGCGUGGGAAGGACGGAACCCAGAGCCCGGCAGCUCUUGGUCCUCCGCGCAGCGCCCCGGGGUCCCCGCGGUCACCUCGCUGCUCCUCCUCCGCCCGCCUCUGCUCCUGCAGCUGCUUCGAAAGCAUCGCGACUGGGACGCGGAAAGGAGACAGAAACAAGGAAAAUAGGGAAUGAGGAAAUGAAGGUAAGGUGUCAAGGUCAACUCACGCUUUACUCAGCCAGGCCUCAGAGCACUGCAUCCUUCCAGGACCCUCACACGGAGAACACGAUGCCUAGCUAUGCAAGGGAGAGCGCGCACCCAACUGACCUGCUAUGUGGAGCACAAACUCCUUCUUCUGGUCCAGCAAGGGGUUCUGGAUGGAGCAGGACACGUUGCUAGGGGCUGUCCCUCCGGCAACCACAGAUGUCUCCAGAUGGAACAGGCCUUGAACAUCCUGGAAGAUGGCUUCAGACUCUGGAGACAGGCACUGGCCUCUAUGGUCCCUCCACUGAGCCUUGGGUUUUGGGUACCAGCCAGUGGAGCUACAUCUUAGCUGAAUGCCUCCUUCCUUGUAGCCCUCAAGGGAAAUAUGAGGGUCUGAGCCCAGCCCUGAGAGAUACAAAAAAGAAUGAGAAAAGAGAGACUGUUUCCAAGAAGUUGGACAUGAAGUCCACAUCACACCAUUCACCAUUUGCAGUCACCGUAAGACAUCAGGAACUGUGACUGCUUAAUGCAUGGUUGAGCUGACACCUCCCCGCCUAUCAACUUCUAACGACUGCCUAGGUCACAGUGGCAUGUGUUAACAGAACACUACUGUACUACUUUGGAGGGACAUUGGAAAUUUGGGUGAAGAAGGCUACAGGCAUUUAGUUAUAUUGUGCGAGAGACAAUUCUUUGGAAAGAACUAUCUUACCUCAAAUUCAAUAGGUCGCCCUCUUUUUGAUUCUCAGUAGAGGUCAAGUUCUUGCAUUAUAUUUCUUUGUAGUCUCAUGUAGUUAACUGACUCUUUAUCUGCUAUCCUCUGUCUAUCUUUUCCAGGAUUAGAGAUUGAACCUAGGCCUUUGCACAUGCUAGUCAAGUGCUCUACCACUGAGCCACAUACUCAGCCAUAUGUGUUGAAUAGCAAAACAUUAACAUGGUCAAAAUAUCAAUCCUGAGCCAAGUGUGGUGGUGCAUUCCUGUAAUCCUGGCAUUCUAGGAGGCUGAGGCAAGAGGAUCCCAAGUUCAAGCCCAGCCAGGACAACUUAGUGAUUUAACGACACCUUGUCUCAAAAAAUAAAACAAGAUUAAUGUGAAGGCCAUAAGUUCAAUACUAAAAAAAAGUUAAUUCUGUAAAAAUGUGUAUCCCUAGCCUUCCUCCAUCCUUUUUUAUUCUAUUAUAUCCCCUUCUCCUUCAGUCACCAAUUUCAUGAGUUUCUAAUACGUUUUCAUUUGUUACUUUUUGCAAUGUUCUUCUUUCUUUUCGGUACACAAAAGUGCAACACAUUACCAAAUCUCUUUUAUAUCUUGAUUUUUUUUCUUUUAAUAAUAUACCUUAGGAAUCACCCAAAACCAUGAUUUAAGUACUCCUCACUUUUCCAGUUACAGCCUAUGGAUCACCCAUGUGAGAGACAGGCUGUGUCUUUUUGGUCAAAACACAAGGCCAAGUAAUUCCAUUUUGGGUUUAAAUGCCCUGGCCACCUCCUCACUACCUCCCCUCCACUCCUGUUAAUAUCCUGAGCUCCAACAAGUGCUGACCAUAUACCUUUUCCCAAAACACAGCUGGUUUCCAGGACAAAGCACCAAGAACCGUGCAUCCCAAACUGAGCCUUCCUGCUCUCUAACCACCCCCACCUAAGAAUCAAGGCCUUUUGCUCCCAAUGCCAUGCCUUGUACCACUCUAGUCAAACACGAUAAGAUUGUAAGCCUUUGAACUCAGCCAAUGAAUGUAACUCUCAGUUGCUUUUUCUGCAUUAGGGAUAAAAGGAGCAGCCUUCUUUUGUCCUGUGUGUCUAACUAUUUCGUGCUCACAGAACUAAAUGCCUUUUUGGAAUGCCUUCUGCAGAACUAAAUGCCUUUUUGAAAAUUCUUGAUGUCUAAUUGCUUUAUUAUCUGCAUCAACAAUUUGAGUCUAGGGCUUAUUUCCAACACCCAGAAGAUGGCUAGACCAUAUUCAGCUUCUAGGUGUGGACAAUCUCCACUCCACAAUUAGAAUUAAUGCAAUGCAGAUUAGACUGAUACAGAAUGGACAUUAUGGGUUUGUAUCGCUAAGGUAAAUUCUGGGAAGUGGGACUGUUGUAUCCUAGGAAGGCAGACAGAAUCCCACUAGGCCCCAGGCAGAGCUUCUUGACUUUGAGCUCCACCAACCACACAAGAGAAAGCCACUUUUCCUAGAGCCACCAGGACAGUGUCCUGGAACUUCUGAAUUUCCUCCAAUUUGAAAGAUAAAAAUUUACAUUUUGAAGUAGUUUAAUUUCCUUUCUCUAAUUAAAAGCAAUAAUUAUCAUCUUUAUGUUUAACAGUCACAGCA